RNAcentral lists this ribosomal RNA (433 nucleotides) under uncultured bacterium. RNAcentral describes it as "partial 16S ribosomal RNA". It matches the Rfam family "Bacterial small subunit ribosomal RNA", at positions 29 to 507 of the family's 1533-position model. The record is from RNAcentral.
AACGAACGCUGGCGGCAUGCCUAACACAUGCAAGUCGAACGACACCUCCGGGUGUAGUUGCGCUCGGGUGCGUAACGCGGGGGAAGCUGCACUUAUGUUCCGGAUACCUCCCUUUAGGGGGUGCUAAUGCAGGGUAAUGUAUUCUGACAAAAGAUUUAUCGCCUUUGGAUGGGCCCGGGUUGGUUUAGCUUGUUGGUAGGGUAAAAGCCUAUCAAGGCGACGAUCCAUAGCUGGUCUGAGAGGAUGGUCCGCCACACUGGGACUGAGGCACGGCCCAGAAUCUUACGGGAGGGAGGAGUGGGGAAUAUAGGACAAUGGGGGAAAGGCUGAUCCAGCUAGGCCGCGUGAGUCAUGAAGGCGUUAGGGAAGUAAAGCUCUUUUACCCGGGACGAUAAUGACAGUACCGGGAGAAUAAGCACCGGCUAACUCCGUG